RNAcentral lists this ribosomal RNA (500 nucleotides) under uncultured bacterium. Its description in RNAcentral is "partial 16S ribosomal RNA". It matches the Rfam family "Bacterial small subunit ribosomal RNA", at positions 30 to 523 of the family's 1533-position model. The record is from RNAcentral.
AUUGAACGCUGGCGGCAUGCUUUACACAUGCAAGUCGAACGGUAACAGGGUGCUUGCACCGCUGACGAGUGGCGAACGGGUGAGUAAUGCGUCGGAACGUGCCGAGUAGUGGGGGAUAACGCAGCGAAAGUUGUGCUAAUACCGCAUACGUACUGAGGUAGAAAGUGGGGGACCUUCGGGCCUCACGCUAUUCGAGCGGCCGACGUCUGAUUAGCUAGUAGGUGAGGUAAAGGCUCACCUAGGCGACGAUCAGUAGCGGGUCUGAGAGGAUGAUCCGCCACACGGGGACUGAGACACGGCCCAGACUCCUACGGGAGGCAGCAGUGGGGAAUUUUGGACAAUGGGCGAAAGCCUGAUCCAGCCAUGCCGCGUGUCUGAAGAAGGCCUUCGGGUUGUAAAGGACUUUUGUCGGGGAGGAAAUCCCCAGCGUUAAUACCGCUGGGGGAUGACAGUACCUGAAGAAUAAGCACCGGCUAACUACGUGCCAGCCGCCGCAGUAA